UCCGGUGUGGUCUAGUGGCUAGGAUACCUGGCUCUCACCCAGGAGGCCGGGUUCGAUUCCCGGUACCGGAA
RNAcentral lists this transfer RNA (71 nucleotides) under Schistocerca americana (American grasshopper). RNAcentral's name for it is "tRNA-Glu". It matches the Rfam family "tRNA". Rfam says of the family: Transfer RNA (tRNA) molecules are approximately 80 nucleotides in length. Their secondary structure includes four short double-helical elements and three loops (D, anti-codon, and T loops). Lineage: Eukaryota; Metazoa; Arthropoda; Insecta; Orthoptera; Acrididae. The record is from RNAcentral. RNAcentral also lists the same sequence under 3 other names.